GUGGCGUCUCUCUGAACCCCCUCGACCGUCCGAGCUUCUAGACUUCUCCGACAAAGAGCUUCUCCAUCCAUCUACCGGGCCGCUUCAAAUACUCUAUAGGCCUCACUAUCAGCCGACCUUCUACAGUGAUCAACUAUUUUCCGAACUUCUUUCGGACUUCGUCAAUAUCCGAGCUUCUUCAACAAUGAGAUUUCUACAGUAAUC
RNAcentral lists this long non-coding RNA (204 nucleotides) under Elaeis guineensis (African oil palm). RNAcentral's name for it is "long non-coding RNA (EGUI_LNC047970)". The record is from RNAcentral. Lineage: Eukaryota; Viridiplantae; Streptophyta; Magnoliopsida; Arecales; Arecaceae.